GACAGAGGGGGCGAGCGUUGUCCGGAGUAACUGGGAGUAAAGAGCGCGCAGGCGGCAACCUUAGUGUCGUGUGAAAGCCCCCGGCUCAACCGGGGGAGGCCAUGGCAAACUGGGUCGCUCGAGCUGCGGAGAGGCCCCUCGAAUUGCCGGUGUAGCGGUGAAAUGCGUAGAGAUCGGCAGGAAGACCAAGGGGGAAGCCAGGGGGCUGGCCGCAGGCUGACGCUGAGGCGCGACAGCGUGGGGAGCAAACCGG
Molecule: ribosomal RNA, 253 nt
Filed under: uncultured bacterium
Lineage: Bacteria
Description: partial 16S ribosomal RNA
Rfam family: Bacterial small subunit ribosomal RNA
Source: RNAcentral